CUCAGGUCAUUCUCAACUUUUUUCUCAAGUAGACAAAUAAAACCAGUUAUUUUCUGUAUUUACAAAUCUGUGACUAUAUUAGGAUUCAAGUCCAAGGGAAUCCCCUUCAUCAACCAUUGCUAUGUGAAAAUGUACUUAGCCUGUUUCCUGUAAUCAGAAGUUCCCCUUAUAUUUCCUCUCUGUUCUUGUCUAGUCUAUGCACUUAACAUAAUCCAUCAUACAAAACGGGCACAAACAACUUUUUAAGAAAACAUUUUACUUUUGCAUUGCUAAAUGGCAGAUAAAUAAAUUGAGGCAAUUUCCAAAUGAACCUGAUUUUUUGUGUUUUUAAUUGCUUUAAUGUUGCAUUUUAC
Pelobates cultripes (western spadefoot toad) is the source of this 353-nucleotide non-coding RNA. Lineage: Eukaryota; Metazoa; Chordata; Amphibia; Anura; Pelobatidae. The record is from the annotation of a GenBank genome assembly.